GUGGGGAAUAUUGGACAAUGGGGGCAACCCUGAUCCAGCCAUGCCGCGUGAAUGAUGAAGGCCUUCGGGUUGUAAAGUUCUUUUGGAGGGGACGAUGAUGACGGUACCCUCAGAAUAAGCUCCGGCUAACUUCGUGCCAGCAGCCGCGGUAAUACGAAGGGAGCUAGCGUUGUUCGGAAUUACUGGGCGUAAAGGGCGCGUAGGCGGUUUGGUUAGUCAGAUGUGAAAGCCCAGGGCUUAACCCUGGAACUGCGUUUGAUACUGCCAAGCUUGAAUUCGGGAGAGGUGAGUGGAAUUCCCAGUGUAGAGGUGAAAUUCGUAGAUAUUGGGAAGAACACCGGUGGCGAAGGCGGCUCACUGGACCGACAUUGACGCUGAGGCGCGAAAGCGUGGGGAGCAAACAGGAUUAGAUACCCUAGUAGUCC
Molecule: ribosomal RNA, 425 nt
Filed under: uncultured bacterium
Lineage: Bacteria
Description: partial 16S ribosomal RNA
Rfam family: Bacterial small subunit ribosomal RNA
Source: RNAcentral